Molecule: ribosomal RNA, 490 nt
Filed under: uncultured bacterium
Lineage: Bacteria
Description: partial 16S ribosomal RNA
Rfam family: Bacterial small subunit ribosomal RNA
Source: RNAcentral
AGUGAACGCUGGCGGUAGGCCUAACACAUGCAAGUCGAACGGCAGCACAGGAGAGCUUGCUCUCUAGGUGGCGAGUGGCGGACGGGUGAGGAAUACAUCGGAAUCUGCCCAGUCGUGGGGGAUAACGUAGGGAAACUUACGCUAAUACCGCAUACGACCUUCGGGUGAAAGAGGGGGAUCGCAAGACCUCUCGCGAUUGGAUGAGCCGAUGUCGGAUUAGCUAGUUAGCGGGGUAAUGGCCCACCAAGGCGACGAUCCGUAGCUGGUCUGAGAGGAUGAUCAGCCACACUGGAACUGAGACACGGUCCAGACUCCUACGGGAGGCAGCAGUGGGGAAUAGUGGACAAUGGGCGCAAGCCUGAUCCAGCCAUACCGCGUGGGUGAAGAAGGCCUUCGGGUUGUAAAGCCCUUUUGUUGGGAAAGAAAUCUUUCAGGCUAAUACCCUGGGAGGAUGACGGUACCCAAAGAAUAAGCACCGGCUAACUUCGUG